GAAGGCAUAACUCAGUGGUAGAAUGCACGCUUAGCAUGCACAAGAUCCUGGGUUCAAUCCCCAGUACCUCCA
Molecule: transfer RNA, 72 nt
Filed under: Camelus bactrianus (Bactrian camel)
Lineage: Eukaryota; Metazoa; Chordata; Mammalia; Artiodactyla; Camelidae
Also listed under: 1 other name
Rfam family: tRNA
About the family: Transfer RNA (tRNA) molecules are approximately 80 nucleotides in length. Their secondary structure includes four short double-helical elements and three loops (D, anti-codon, and T loops).
Source: Rfam by way of RNAcentral